UUCAUAUUAUACUGGUAUCUGGCAGUCAACGAGCCUCAUCACUUGACUAAACAUAGAAAAGCAUAUACGAGCAGCGACAUCACCAACAACGUGGUAGCAAUGAAAAUGUUCCUGUGUCUGACCAUUGUUGUCAUGGUAGCUGUAUGCCAAGCAGAAGAAAUCCCGGGAUUAGCAAACGCGGAAGCUGAAAUAAUUGAAGAAAAUCCACAGUUGGCAAAAGAGUAUAUUAAAGACGUCAUAGAUGCUUUAGCUGUCGAUGGUGUAAAUUAUAAAGACUUGUUUCCAGAAGAAUAACACACUAUACGGUUGUACUGUAAUAUCCAUAUUACAUAGGCUGAAUGGAAUGAAAUAAAAAUUCUAAACUCUCAUAGUGA
Molecule: long non-coding RNA, 374 nt
Organism: Saccoglossus kowalevskii
Lineage: Eukaryota; Metazoa; Hemichordata; Enteropneusta; Harrimaniidae
Source: RefSeq, a predicted model, not a curated record